AUUGAACGCUGGCGGCAGGCCUAACACAUGCAAGUCGAGCGUGAAAGGGCUUCGGCCUGAGUAAAGCGGCGGGCGGGUGAGUAACGCGUAGGAAUCUACCUGGUAGUGGGGGAUAACGUUCCGAAAGGGACGCUAAUACCGCAUACGUUCUACGGAAGAAAGCGGGGGCUCACAAGACCUCGCGCUAUCAGAUGAGCCUGCGUCCGAUUAGCUAGUUGGUAGGGUAAAGGCCUACCAAGGCGACGAUCGGUAACUGGUCUGAGAGGAUGAUCAGUCACACUGGAACUGAGACACGGUCCAGACUCCUACGGGAGGCAGCAGUGGGGAAUAUUGGACAAUGGGGGCAACCCUGAUCCAGCCAUGCCGCGUGUGUGAAGAAGGCCUUCGGGUUGUAAAGCACUUUAAGCUGGGAGGAAGGCCCUGUGGCUAAUAUCCACGGGGAUUGACGUUACCAGCAGAAUAAGCACCGGCAAACUUCGUGCCAGCAGCCGCGGUAA
Molecule: ribosomal RNA, 497 nt
Filed under: uncultured bacterium
Lineage: Bacteria
Description: partial 16S ribosomal RNA
Rfam family: Bacterial small subunit ribosomal RNA
Source: RNAcentral